Molecule: long non-coding RNA, 1453 nt
Organism: Acinonyx jubatus (cheetah)
Lineage: Eukaryota; Metazoa; Chordata; Mammalia; Carnivora; Felidae
Exons: 3
Source: RefSeq, a predicted model, not a curated record
GUUCUAGAAUGCAUGGCACAGGUCGCAGAAUAUGGUAAAUUGUGCCCUAAAUAGUAUAAGGCUCCAUUGAUAGAGAAAUAGAGAAGAUUUUGUUUUGAAGAAUCCAUAGUGAGAUACUUCCAGGGAAGUGUGAACAACUUUGCAAGAAAUAAAUAGAGGAGAACUUGAAAAGGAUUGCUCCUCUCACAUGGACCACACCAAGUACUCUUCCUAGGAGAAUGAAACAUCACUUAGGAGACUGAAUUGAGAUGGACUGAGAAUUCACUUUAUUAGAAGAAACACCUUCAUUUUUCUCAUUAGUAAAUCUAACUAGACGGUGCUAUGCAGUCAUGAUCAUAUUCAUCUAGAUCUCACAUCUUUGCAAUUCAGGACCAAUGGGAUGCAUAAAUAUUACAUGAAUGUGUUCUAGUGGUAACUAUAAAGAAACACAAAUAAUUCGGGGCGCCUGGGUGGCCCAGCCAGUUGAGCGUCCGGCUUCAGCUCAUGUCAUGAUCUCACGGUUCAUGAGUUUGAGCCCUGCAUUGGGCUCUGUGCUGACAGCUCAGAGCCUGAAGCCUGAUUCGGAUUCUGUGUCUCCCUCUCUCUCUGCUCCUUCCCACUCAUGCUCUCUCUCUCUCUCUCCUUCAAAAAUAAAAACAUUAAAAAAAAUUAAAAAAAGAAACACAAAUACUUUGCCUAAAUCAGCACAUGAAACAUACACUUUGUAGAAACCAAUUCUUCAGUUAAAAAAAAAAAGGUAGGUGGAGUCAUGUUACUGUACUACUGAUUAAGUCCCUUCAAAUGCCUGAGAUCUAACUCCCUUGUUCAAUUUGUCAACUUGUCUCCCCAAUACUCAUUUUUGGUAUUAAAAAAAACACAUGACUUUUAUUAAAAUACUUGUCUAUGAUCCUUUAUGGAUGUCUUUAUGCUUUAUUUUCCUUCUACUUCCUGUAAAGUGUGACAUCUUAGCUCAGUGGAGGUAUAAAGUAAUUCAAGACUACUUGCCCUUCCCUUUCUCUACCUACUCAUAGGAAUGUGUUUGUACACCAAAUAUGAUGUCACAGUCUAGUUCACAAAAAGAUAAUGAUGUUAGAACUUAGUGCUAUAUCACGCUGUAUUCCCUCCCUUAAUGCUCCCAAGCACUGAGUGGGUGGUAAGAGGAGAGGUUAAGUGAGUAUUGGAACAUCAGACAUUAGCGAUUAUCUAAUCACAACACUGAAUCUCAUGGCUGAAAAGUCAGCUCUUUCCUCAACUUCUUUCAACUCUUCUAAUUUAUGAAAUAGGAAAAUUUGGUUUGUGUCUCAUUUGUCUCUAGUAAUAUCACUGUACCACUUGCUAAAUAAGUCUCUAUAGUUUCCUUAUCCUUAGAGAAGAGAUAAUAAAAUAUCCUCCCUCAAGCAGUUGUUGUCAGGAUCAAAUGUGGCAUCGUACACACAUAAAGUAUUUAAAAAACAGAGUGCCUCACACAUAAUAA